GACGAACGCUGGCGGCGUGCUUAACACAUGCAAGUCGAACGAUGAUGCCCAGCUUGCUGGGUGGAUUAGUGGCGAACGGGUGAGUAACACGUGAGUAACCUGCCCUUGACUCUGGGAUAAGCGUUGGAAACGACGUCUAAUACUGGAUAUGACUACUCGGAGCAUGGCCUGGUGGUGGAAGGAUUGUUGGUUGGGGAUGGACGCGCGGCCUAUCAGCUUGUUGGUGAGGUAAUGGCUCACCAAGGCGACGACGGGUAGCCGGCCUGAGAGGGUGACCGGCCACACUGGGACUGAGACACGGCCCAGACUCCUACGGGAGGCAGCAGUGGGGAAUAUUGCACAAUGGGCGAAAGCCUGAUGCAGCAACGCCGCGUGAGGGAUGACGGCCUUCGGGUUGUAAACCUCUUUUAGUAGGGAAGAAGCGAAAGUGACGGUACCUGCAGAAGAAGCACCGGCUAACUACGUGCCAGCAGCCGCCGUAA
This 482-nucleotide ribosomal RNA is filed under the name uncultured bacterium. Its description in RNAcentral is "partial 16S ribosomal RNA". It matches the Rfam family "Bacterial small subunit ribosomal RNA", at positions 28 to 523 of the family's 1533-position model. The record is from RNAcentral.